GUAAGGGGAUAUUUACAAUGUUAUUAUCGAUAUUAGAUGAUGCUAACUGUAUAGCAUAGCUUAUUGUUCUUAGCAUAGCACCCCGUUUAUUGCAAAAUGUGAUUUCCCAGUAAAGUUAUUUUGAGAUCUGGCCAUUCGGUAGCAAUUACGAGAUGAUAAUAUAUUAUUCUUUGAAUGACAAUAUUAAAAUUUACCAAUGUUUUCGAAUAGUAAUUUUGUUAUGUUCACCGGAAGCAUUUCAGAGAAGAAAAAAUCUGAAUUUCACGCUACUGUAAAAUGCUGUUUUUGGAUAUAAAUAUGAACUUGAUGGAACAAAAAAUGCAUGUAUUGUAUAACAUAAUGUCCUAGGAGUGUCAUCUGAUGGAGAUUGACAAAGGACAAUGACCCAAAACACACCCCCAGGUUGUGUAAGGGCUAUUUGACCAAGAAGGAGAGUGAUGGAGUGCUGCAUCAGAUGACCUGGCCUCCACAAUCCCCCGACCUCAACCCAAUUGAGAUUGUUUUGGAUGAGUUGGACCGCAGAGUGAAGGAAAAGCAGCCAACAAGUGCUCAGCAUAUAUGGGAACUCCUUCAAGAUUGUAAGGAAAAGCAUUCCUCAUGAAACUGGUUGAGAGAAUGUCAAGAGUUUGCAAAGCUGUCAUCAAGGCAAAGGGUGGCUACUUUGUAGAAACUCAAAUAAUUUAUAAUUUAUUUUGAUUUGGUUACUACAUGAUUCCAUAUGUGUUAUUUAUUCUACAAUGUAAAAAAUAGUAAAGAUAAACAAAAACCCUUGAAUGAUUAGGUGUGUCCAAACGUUUGACAGGUACUGUAUAUUAAUAUAUAUAAAAAAUAUAUAUACAUACAUAUAUACAUACAUACAUACAUACAUAUACAUAUACAUAUACAUAUACAUAUACAUAUACAUAUAUAUAUAUCGGUCCCUCUCCCGAACAAGGAGAGGGACCGACUUUGGCGGAAGUCGUGACACCUACAUCAUUUUGAGUUAUGAAAAAAAAAAAAUCCCAACGAAGUCAAGACAGUUCAGUGAAAGGGAAUUGAUGAACUGAUGAAAUAAAAUACAAAUAUUGAGGCUUCACUGCGUGUAACAGCACUCUGCUCUUCUCUAAUUACAUUUAAAUAGAAGUGGAACUAUUUUUGGUAUAACACUCAUAGUGCCAGAAGCACUUCCCAGUUUAUCUUGCCUGUCAGAAUGGGUGAAUCACAGAUACUUUAUGAAGAAACAGCCAUGAGGGACUUACUGAUCCCAUUAGAAACACAGAGGGACAAAUGAAACACUAAUUAAAAAUGAUAUUUUUUUACAUUAUUAAUUCUGUAGUUUCAAACUUAAUGAAUAUGAAACGACAAGGAUACUAUAUAUAUUUUUUUUAUAAAUACAGUACACGUCUGCCACCACUAGCUCCUACAGGACAAGCUAGGAACUAGGAUACAAUUGGGUGAAAGCAGUGUUGUGGAAUGAUUUUGGUAACAGUAGCUGUAAUGAAUGUACCCUAGAACCACUCAAAGUCACUAUCAGAUUUUCUUUGCUCAGUGUCCCAUUCUGUGGGGAAAAAGAUUGUUUGCAAUCUGCCUGAAUUAUCAGACAUUCACAUGAAAGAAAAGAAACACAAGCAUGAGGGGUGUAUAUAGGAAGGAAACUGUUCAUAUCUAAAUCAUGGUUAUUCUGUCUAUUGUUCCUUUGAGUGCUAGCAGCACAGUACGACACAGAGACAGCAGCAGCAGUUCUCUGUAUAGAGGGGUCUGGGCUAUAAGACAGUAGUUCUCUGUGUAGAGGGGUUUGGGCUAUAAGACAGUAGUUCUCUGUAUAGAUGGGUUUGGGCUAUAAGACAGUAGUUCUCUGUAUACAGUAGUCUGGGCUAUAAGACAGUAGUUCUCUGUAUAGAGGGGUCUGGGCUAUAAGACAGUAGUUGUCUGUAUAGAGGGGUCUGGGCUAUAAGACAGUAGUUCUCUGUAUACAGUAGUCUGGGCUAUAAGACAUUAACAUCCCUGUUCCCCUCCAACAUAUUCUCUGCAGGAUAUUCAUUGUUGUACAGCC
This 2032-nucleotide long non-coding RNA is filed under the name Salmo salar (Atlantic salmon). RNAcentral's name for it is "lncRNA (ENSSSAG00000114074.1)". Lineage: Eukaryota; Metazoa; Chordata; Actinopteri; Salmoniformes; Salmonidae. The record is from RNAcentral.